Molecule: ribosomal RNA, 254 nt
Filed under: uncultured prokaryote
Description: partial 16S ribosomal RNA
Rfam family: Bacterial small subunit ribosomal RNA
Source: RNAcentral
UACGUAGGCAGCGAGCGUUGUUCGGAGUUACUGGGCGUAAAGGGUGUGUAGGCGGUUGUUUAAGUUUGGUGUGAAAUCUCCCGGCUCAACUGGGAGGGUGCGCCGAAUACUGAAUGACUUCGAGUGCGGGAGAGGAGCGCGGAAUUCCCGGUGUAGCGGUGAAAUGCGUAGAGAUCGGGAGGAAGGCCGGUGGCGAAGGCGGCGCUCUGGAACAUUUCUGACGCUGAGGCUCGAACGCGUGGGGAGCAAACAGG